Molecule: long non-coding RNA, 642 nt
Filed under: Triticum aestivum (bread wheat)
Lineage: Eukaryota; Viridiplantae; Streptophyta; Magnoliopsida; Poales; Poaceae
Description: long non-coding RNA (TAES_LNC006254)
Source: RNAcentral
UUCGCAAAAGAAAAAUCUUCAUUUUAGAAUUAGAACGAACGUCCUCACAAAUGAUAAAAAUGGCAUGGUUUUCCUUGAACAGAAAGGAGAGCCUGAUUUCCUUUAGAGAGAAACAAGUUUAGUCGUACACUAUUUUUUUUUUGAGGGAUUUUUUUUAGGGAUAGUCGUACACUAAUUUUUUUUCAACAUAAACAUAACAAACACAACGCAUGCUUUAUGCAGAGAAGUGUCCCUGACACGGAUGCGAUAAGAGACAACUUUUCGUUCAGCUUCAUCUUAUUAUUGAACAAAGAUCACGUGGAACUGGAAGGCUUUGACACGUAGCUAUGCAGAGGAAGCAGCCAGCCGGAGCCGGCGGCUCAGUGCUGUCCCGACAGCUUCUCCUUGAUCUUGUCCAUGAUUCCCUUCUUCUCGCCGGUGCCAGUGCCGGCGCCGGCCAUUCCUGUGUGGCCUUGCUGCCCGUAGGCUGCACCAGUUCCAGUUCCCGGCCCGUAGGCUCCUCCAGUCCCUGUCCCCGUCGCCAUGUGCUGCUGGUUGUCCUUGUGGCCGCCGGGGAGCUUCUCCUUGAUCUUCUCCUUCAUUCCCUUCUUCUUCCUCCCGCCCAUGCCGUCGUCCUCCGAAGACUGCACAGUGUACACGCAC